This 215-nucleotide long non-coding RNA is filed under the name Panax ginseng (ginseng). Its description in RNAcentral is "long non-coding RNA (PGIN_LNC014561)". Lineage: Eukaryota; Viridiplantae; Streptophyta; Magnoliopsida; Apiales; Araliaceae. The record is from RNAcentral.
AAGAAUAUUUGUGUAUUCAUUAAUGGUCAUGAUCAUGCCAACAACUGUCCAUCAAUGCACUACGGGCCAAUGAGGACUUUUACCACAUCAUUUGUAACAUUACGGUCAUGAUUACACCGAAUAAUCCCUGGUCAUAAUCAUACCAAGUCCAUCUAUGCAUUACAGGCCACAGAUGACUUUCAAAAAAAUAUAAACAUGAGGAUGAUGACAAUGAU